UGAGGAAUAUUGGUCAAUGGACGGAAGUCUGAACCAGCCAUGCCGCGUGAAGGAUGAAGGCGUUCUGCGUUGUAAACUUCUUUUAUCUGGGAAGAAUCCACAGAUUUCUAUUUGUGUUGACGGUACCAGAUGAAUAAGCACCGGCUAACUCCGUGCCAGCAGCCGCGGUAAUACGGAGGGUGCGAGCGUUAUCCGGAUUUACUGGGUUUAAAGGGUGCGUAGGCGGGCUAUUAAGUCAGAGGUGAAAUCUCCGGGCUCAACCUGGAAACUGCCUUUGAUACUAUUAGCCUUGAAUUAUGUUGAGGUUGGCGGAAUAUAACAUGUAGCGGUGAAAUGCUUAGAUAUGUUAUGGAACACCGAUUGCGAAGGCAGCUGGCUAAACAUAUAUUGACGCUGAUGCACGAAAGCGUGGGUAGCGAACA
RNAcentral lists this ribosomal RNA (422 nucleotides) under uncultured bacterium. Its description in RNAcentral is "bacterial SSU rRNA". It matches the Rfam family "Bacterial small subunit ribosomal RNA", at positions 355 to 774 of the family's 1533-position model. The record is from RNAcentral.